This 492-nucleotide ribosomal RNA is filed under the name uncultured bacterium. Its description in RNAcentral is "partial 16S ribosomal RNA". It matches the Rfam family "Bacterial small subunit ribosomal RNA", at positions 29 to 507 of the family's 1533-position model. The record is from RNAcentral.
AGUGAACGCUGGCGGUAGGCCUAACACAUGCAAGUCGACCGGCAGCACAGUAAGAGCUUGCUCUUACGGGUGGCGAGUGGCGGACGGGUGAGGAAUACAUCGGAAUCUACUUUUUCGUGGGGGAUAACGUAGGGAAACUUACGCUAAUACCGCAUACGACCUACGGGUGAAAGCAGGGGAUCUUCGGACCUUGCGCGAUUGAAUGAGCCGAUGUCGGAUUAGCUAGUUGGCGGGGUAAAGGCCCACCAAGGCGACGAUCCGUAGCUGGUCUGAGAGGAUGAUCAGCCACACUGGAACUGAGACACGGUCCAGACUCCUACGGGAGGCAGCAGUGGGGAAUAUUGGACAAUGGGCGCAAGCCUGAUCCAGCCAUACCGCGUGGGUGAAGAAGGCCUUCGGGUUGUAAAGCCCUUUUGUUGGGAAAGAAAAGCAGCAGGUUAAUACCCCGCUGUUCUGACGGUACCCAAAGAAUAAGCACCGGCCAACUUCGUG